CCAAACGGGUUGUGACCCACAGGUUGAGAACCACUGCUUUAAAUGAAAAUGUCCAUAAACCCAGGAGAUAUUGUUACACAUAUAAGCUCCUUGUGAUGGUUCAGUAAGCUGGCUGUAGGGUUCUGCACUAGAACUCACACUCAUGGAUGUUCUCAGUCUCCCUUUGUUUGCAGGUGCACACGGGCUGACACUCUGCAGAUGCAAACGUGCCGUUGAAACAAAGCAAGAGUGCUGUGUGGCUCCCAGAGCCUUGCCUGGGCCUGCGUUUCCUCCUCUUCCACUCAAGACUCACGUUAGCAGGGUUUUCCUGUUUCUAGACAACAGUCAUCAGCAUCAGAGAAGAAGGACUUGAAUUGUCUCUGACUUUCAGAACAGGGUUACAGACAACAUAGACAAACUCCGGGGAGAAUUUAUUGGAUGAAUAGUCAAAGCCUGAGAUCUAGGAGCUGGAGCAGUGAGCAGGUUGAUGCUACAAACUGGAUCCCGGGGCUCCCGAAGCCGAGUCUAAGGACCUUUCCUCUGCAGCUGACGCCUUCACGCCUGGUCUUUGGUGACUUGUCAUCAGCCCUCAGGAAGACAGGGCUGUGCCCUACAGCACGGACACCGAU
Molecule: long non-coding RNA, 608 nt
Filed under: Rattus norvegicus (Norway rat)
Lineage: Eukaryota; Metazoa; Chordata; Mammalia; Rodentia; Muridae
Description: long non-coding RNA NONRATT023382
Source: RNAcentral